Molecule: ribosomal RNA, 253 nt
Filed under: uncultured bacterium
Lineage: Bacteria
Description: partial 16S ribosomal RNA
Rfam family: Bacterial small subunit ribosomal RNA
Source: RNAcentral
UACGAAGGGGGCUAGCGUUGUUCGGAAUCACUGGGCGUAAAGCGUACGUAGGCGGAUCGUUAAGUCAGGGGUGAAAGCCUGGAGCUCAACUCCAGAACUGCCUUUGAUACUGGCGAACUUGAGACCGGGAGAGGUGAGUGGAACUGCUAGUGUAGAGGUGAAAUUCGUAGAUAUUAGCAAGAACACCAGUGGCGAAGGCGGCUCACUGGCCCGGUACUGACGCUGAGGUACGAAAGCGUGGGGAGCAAACAGG